This 74-nucleotide transfer RNA is filed under the name Acetilactobacillus jinshanensis. It matches the Rfam family "tRNA". From Rfam's summary of the family: Transfer RNA (tRNA) molecules are approximately 80 nucleotides in length. Their secondary structure includes four short double-helical elements and three loops (D, anti-codon, and T loops). RNAcentral also lists the same sequence under 1 other name. The record is from Rfam by way of RNAcentral. Lineage: Bacteria; Bacillati; Bacillota; Bacilli; Lactobacillales; Lactobacillaceae.
AGCCCGCUGGUCAAAGUGGUUUAAGACGUCAGCUUCUCAGGCUGAAGCUUCGGGUUCGAGUCCCGAGCGGGUUA